GGAUUUUCCAGGCAAGAGUACUGGAGUGGGUCGCCAUUGCCUUCUCCCAUUCACUUUCCUAACCCACUUUAAUCAGGGGUCUGUCUCUGCUAUACGUGUACAGACUGAAAUUAGGAUCAUGCUUAGGUAAUCCAGGAAAAGAGAAUAAGAUGAGAAAAGCAGUGGGCUACCAACAUUUAACGGGAUGUGAUAAUGUCUACCUGAUAAGAUUCUUAUGUGGAUUAAAUUAAGUAUGUAAACCAACACUUACAGGGUCCAGCGCAGAAUAUCAACCACUAGCUUUCCUCCCCUUUACCCAUGUUACCUUCACCUGAGUAAUUUGCCUGUGGUCAUGUAGCUGAUAAGUGAGUAUAGAUGCAAACUCAUGUCUUCUUGGCCCAAAAGGAUAUUUCCAUCUUUCCACGACUCCAGACUUCCUUCCCAGGGCUUUAGUCCCCAGUUUGGUUCCUCUCUGCAAACUCCUGGAGCGGAGCCUUUUGCUGAAAGACGGUUGGACACUCUUCAACUGUUUCAACCAAAAUGUCAGAGGCUUCAUCAGGAUGCAUUAUAUUUCCUUGGCUUACACUUAUCUCCUUGUUUCAGUACAAUGUCUGCUAAAAUCACAAAAGGAGAAUCAGCCAAAGUAUGUGUAUUUGAUCUUCAUGGGAAUUUGGGGGGCACAAGUUUAAGAACGGAGAGUUAAGACAAAUUAUUCAGGAAGGACACAUGUGUGUUAGUCGCUUAGUCGUGUCUGACUCUUUACCACCCCGUGGACUGCAGCUCUCCAGGCUCCUCUGUCCGUGGAAUUCUCUAGGCAAGAAUAGCGGAGUGGGUUGCCAUUCUGUUCUCCAGGGGCCCUUCCCAGCCCAGGGAUCGAACCCUGGUCUCCUGCAUUACAGGCACAAGAAUGGACAGUUAAGGCAAAUUAUUCAUGAAGUCACAUGCCACGUGCUUUUUUCCUUUUGGGAUGUACUUGUCAUCAUCAUUUCCAUGGAGGGUAUUUGUUUGCAGACCUGUCCUUUCACCUCAGAAUUAAGAUAGUGUUUCAUUUUAAACUGAGUCAUCUUUGUCCUAAAUAUUGCAUAGUCACACAGGCCUGCCACCUCCUGUUUCCUUAGGCCAAACAGGAUGACAAAGCAAAGUAGGCGACCGUCCCCAAGUCUCUUUGUACUCACUGCCAUUGUGUGUGGUGCUCAGAUGUGUUUGUUAUAUUGCAAGGAAUUACCAUAGUGAGUGAUUUGCACAAAAUUCUACCCAAGAAAUUCUAAAACAAAGAGCUUGCAAAUGGAGUGCCUGCUCUAGCUAUGAAAAAUGUGUUCCAAAAGCACAGAAGGAACAUGUGCAACUUGAAACUUUUCAUCAGAAAUUGAGAGAACUCAAGGUCAGUUUAAUAUUAAUUCUCUCCCAGCUCUUUCAUCUAAGAGAUAUCAACUUGCAUUUGAAUCUGGUAAAGAGAUAUGAAUAUAGGGCAGUUUAGCCUUCAAAGGACAAAUUUCUUGAGAAAUAUCCUGUAUGCAUCUAUUUAGUUUUGAGUAUCAUUAGGUUAUUGUAAAGUGAAAAUGACCAAAGCUUGCCUUUUUCAUAGAAAGGGAAAUUUGUUUCUGGUAAGUCGAAAUUGCUUUUGAAUAAUUUAUAGGGAACAGAGAAUUCAUCAGGCCUGAUAUCAGCAGCCAUGAGAUUGCCUUAUUCUAUAAUGGGUGUGAUGGGAGCUAGAAAGCUGGAGUUGGUUAGCAUGAGAAUUCCUAUCUGGAACUUCAUACAGGUUAAAGGCAGGCAACAUUUAAGAAAUGGAAANNNNNAGUCAAAACUAUGUAAAAAGGAACCUUUGAAAAAAAAGCCUUACUGUGAAUGAUUCUCUCUAGACUCCCCCCCCCACCCCG
RNAcentral lists this long non-coding RNA (1859 nucleotides) under Capra hircus (goat). RNAcentral describes it as "lncRNA (ENSCHIG00010013723.1)". The record is from RNAcentral. Lineage: Eukaryota; Metazoa; Chordata; Mammalia; Artiodactyla; Bovidae.